GACGUAGGUUGCAAGCGUUAUCCGGAAUUAUUGGGCGUAAAGAGUUCGUAGGUGGUUUGUUAAGUUGGAUGUCAAAGCCCGGAGCUCAACUUCGGACAGGUGUCCAAAACUGGCAAACUAGAGACAGGCAGAGGCAAGUGGAAUUCUGUAUGUAGGGGUAAUAUCCGUAGAUAUACAGAGGAACACCAAAAGCGAAGGCAGCUUGCUGGGCCUGUUCUGACACUCAAGAACGAAAGCGUGGGGAGCAAACGGG
RNAcentral lists this ribosomal RNA (253 nucleotides) under uncultured bacterium. Its description in RNAcentral is "partial 16S ribosomal RNA". It matches the Rfam family "Bacterial small subunit ribosomal RNA", at positions 524 to 776 of the family's 1533-position model. The record is from RNAcentral.